RNAcentral lists this ribosomal RNA (660 nucleotides) under Fusimorio rosadoi. Its description in RNAcentral is "partial 16S ribosomal RNA". The stretch from base 1 to 559 matches the Rfam family "Bacterial large subunit ribosomal RNA", at positions 1856 to 2925 of the family's 2925-position model. The record is from RNAcentral. Lineage: Eukaryota; Metazoa; Mollusca; Gastropoda; Neogastropoda; Cancellariidae.
AGCCUGCCCGGUGAAUAUUUUUAACGGCCGCGGUACCCUGACCGUGCAAAGGUAGCAUAAUAAUUUGCCCUAUAAUUGAGGGCUGGAAUGAAUGGUUUGACAAGAAUAGGACUGUCUUUUUAUGAUUUAUUAGAAUUUAAUCUUUAGGUGAAGAAGCCUAAAUUUUAUUAAAAGACAAGAAGACCCUAUCGAGCUUUAGAAAAAUUAAUAAGUCCUAAAGUAAUAUUUUAAUAAAAGUUUAUUUAUUGAAAUAUUUUAGUUGGGGCGACUAAGGAACAUAAAAAGCUUCCUUUAAUGUAUAAUAUCUAUUUUACUAAUUUUGAUCCAAAAUUUUUGAUUAAAGAAAUUAGUUACCGUAGGGAUAACAGCAUUAUCUUUUUUAAGAGUUCUUAUCGAAAAAAAGGUUUGUGACCUCGAUGUUGGACCAGAAUAUCCUAAAGAUGCAGAAGUCUUUUAGGGUUGGUCUGUUCGACCAUUAAAAUUCUACGUGAUCUGAGUUCAGACCGGCGUGAGCCAGGUCAGUUUCUAUCUUUAAUUACUUAACAUUAAGCUUAGUACGAAAGGACCAGCUUAUAUAUAUAUAUAUAUUUGAAGUGAAAAGAUAUAAUGGAAAAGUGAAAUCAGAUUAGCAAAGAAUGCGGUUGAUUUAGAAUCAAUAGA